AAAAUAUCAAAUUCAAUGAUAUUGAUGCUACCAAAAAUCGUACCUAUUGAUUUCUCGAGCUUGAGGAUUUUGAAUGAGCACGAUGGUAGUCUUCCGAUUCUUGAAACAAAGGCAACGAGGUGUGUUCUCGUCGCUCCUCCGAUGCUUAAGUCAGAAAGGGAAUUAUAUACGCGAGGCUAUAAACUGGAGAAUAAUGAGAACGUACCUGAAUAAUGACCCAUGGUUCUGUAUUUAUGGUGAUGGGUGACAUUCUCCUAGUAGGACUCAACGAUCUAGGAAUCCUUAUCCGAUAGAGUCCCAUGAGAAAGCAACGUUUGAAUCCUACUGUGAUUAGGAGACCAAUUAUUAAGAGGACUCUCUUGGAUUUAGUAGAUGUGGUUUGAGGUAUUUGUGUCAGAUAAGAGUUCUCAAGGGACAGACCUUCUCCAUAGUACGGGGAGGAUGGUAGGUGAGGACCUCAAGGGAUUUUCUUGAGGUCUUAUUCUCGAGGACAUCCCGUAUUUUGUGAUAGUUAGUUGAACAUCAAGGUCGGGAAGAGGAUGUCCCGAGGACUUGGUGAAUCCCGAGCUUUAAUGACCGGGUAACGUAAAAGUAGGUUACCUAUAGUCAUCGGGAUUAUAUCGUGCUCGGGUUAUGCAAGGAAUGACAGUAUCACUGGCCCUCGUACACCUAUGCUCAAAGCUUUCGCUCGAGGAUAUGGUGCAAAUAGGUUCGAAGGUGACUAGUGUGCAAAUGCUCAGGUGGUUUUGAAGAUAGGUGUUUAAAAGCUGACGUCCUGAUGACAUUAGCCCUAAACAAGUAAGGCAGUGGAAAGCUUGAGCCCUUGGAUGGCGGACACGUGGUGUGAUCGGACGGUUGUGCAAGCGACUUUUGGGCUCUCACUCAGGCCUUCUAUAAAUACCCCUUUCGCUAUUUACUUUUUAAUUUUUCACUCUGAGUAAAUUUUUCUCGCAAUCGUCGGUAUCAGGUUAGAGCUCGAGAACUUAAUGCUCAGCCUCGAGCUCAGGAUAAUCCGACGUUAUUUAGAUAUCCCGAUCAACCCUAUAGGUUUAAGGAACACCUAGCGAUAUCGAUGGCUAGGGAAUAUGACCUUAUGCCAAGUUGCGAUAUUAGGCAUCCCGAGGAUGGGGAUAGGAUGGCUUUAGCUCGG
RNAcentral lists this long non-coding RNA (1150 nucleotides) under Olea europaea subsp. europaea. The record is from RNAcentral. Lineage: Eukaryota; Viridiplantae; Streptophyta; Magnoliopsida; Lamiales; Oleaceae.